RNAcentral lists this non-coding RNA (76 nucleotides) under uncultured Dysgonomonas sp. The record is from RNAcentral. Lineage: Bacteria; Pseudomonadati; Bacteroidota; Bacteroidia; Bacteroidales; Dysgonomonadaceae.
ACUCAAUUAAGUGGAUAGAUUUGUAUCGAUUGCAACCACAUGAAAAAAUGCUAAACCAUUUUCUGCACUGCAUUAU